GACGAACGCUGGCGGCGUGCUUAACACAUGCAAGUCGAACGGAAAGGCCCUGCUUUUGUGGGGUGCUCGAGUGGCGAACGGGUGAGUAACACGUGAGUAACCUGCCCUUGACUUUGGGAUAACUUCAGGAAACUGGGGCUAAUACCGGAUAGGAGCUCCUGCUGCAUGGUGGGGGUUGGAAAGUUUCGGCGGUUGGGGAUGGACUCGCGGCUUAUCAGCUUGUUGGUGGGGUAGUGGCUUACCAAGGCUUUGACGGGUAGCCGGCCUGAGAGGGUGACCGGCCACAGUGGGACGGAGAUACGGCCCAGACUCCUACGGGAGGCAGCAGUGGGGAAUAUUGCACAAUGGGCGGAAGCCUGAUGCAGCAACGCCGCGUGCGGGAUGACGGCCUUCGGGUUGUAAACCGCUUUCGCCUGUGACGAAGCGUGAGUGACGGUAAUGGGUAAAGAAGCACCGGCUAACUACGUG
This 468-nucleotide ribosomal RNA is filed under the name uncultured bacterium. RNAcentral's name for it is "partial 16S ribosomal RNA". It matches the Rfam family "Bacterial small subunit ribosomal RNA", at positions 28 to 507 of the family's 1533-position model. The record is from RNAcentral.